UACGGAGGGUGCAAGCGUUAUCCGGAUUCACUGGGUUUAAAGGGUGCGUAGGCGGGUAGGUAAGUCAGUGGUGAAAUCCUGGAGCUUAACUCCAGAACUGCCAUUGAUACUAUUUAUCUUGAAUAUUGUGGAGGUAAGCGGAAUAUGUCAUGUAGCGGUGAAAUGCUUAGAUAUGACAUAGAACACCCAUUGCGAAGGCAGCUUACUACGCAUAUAUUGACGCUGAGGCACGAAAGCGUGGGGAU
Molecule: ribosomal RNA, 245 nt
Filed under: uncultured bacterium
Lineage: Bacteria
Description: partial 16S ribosomal RNA
Rfam family: Bacterial small subunit ribosomal RNA
Source: RNAcentral